GCGCUCGUAGCUCAAUUGGAUAGAGCGUCUGACUACGGAUCAGAAGGUUGGGGGUUCGAGUCCUCCCGAGCGCGCAA
Molecule: transfer RNA, 77 nt
Filed under: Actinomycetes bacterium
Lineage: Bacteria; Bacillati; Actinomycetota; Actinomycetes
Description: Actinobacteria bacterium tRNA-Arg
Rfam family: tRNA
About the family: Transfer RNA (tRNA) molecules are approximately 80 nucleotides in length. Their secondary structure includes four short double-helical elements and three loops (D, anti-codon, and T loops).
Source: RNAcentral